CACGUGGGUAACCUGCCCAUCAGAAGGGGAUAACACUUGGAAACAGGUGCUAAUACCGUAUAACAAUCGAAACCGCAUGGUUUUGAUUUGAAAGGCGCUUUCGGGUGUCGCUGAUGGAUGGACCCGCGGUGCAUUAGCUAGUUGGUGAGGUAACGGCUCACCAAGGCCACGAUGCAUAGCCGACCUGAGAGGGUGAUCGGCCACAUUGGGACUGAGACACGGCCCAAACUCCUACGGGAGGCAGCAGUAGGGAAUCUUCGGCAAUGGACGAAAGUCUGACCGAGCAACGCCGCGUGAGUGAAGAAGGUUUUCGGAUCGUAAAACUCUGUUGUUAGAGAAGAACAAGGAUGAGAGUAACUGUUCAUCCCUUGACGGUAUCUAACCAGAAAGCCACGGCUAACUACGUGCCAGCAGCCGCGGUAAUACGUAGGUGGCAAGCGUUGUCCGGAUUUAUUGGGCGUAAAGCGAGCGCAGGCGGUUUCUUAAGUCUGAUGUGAAAGCCCCCGGCUCAACCGGGGAGGGUCAUUGGAAACUGGGAGACUUGAGUGCAGAAGAGGAGAGUGGAAUUCCAUGUGUAGCGGUGAAAUGCGUAGAUAUAUGGAGGAACACCAGUGGCGAAGGCGGCUCUCUGGUCUGUAACUGACGCUGAGGCUCGAAAGCGUGGGGAGCAAACAGGAUUAGAUACCCUGGUAGUCCACGCCGUAAACGAUGAGUGCUAAGUGUUGGAGGGUUUCCGCCCUUCAGUGCUGCAGCUAACGCAUUAAGCACUCCGCCUGGGGAGUACGACCGCAAGGUUGAAACUCAAAGGAAUUGACGGGGGCCCGCACAAGCGGUGGAGCAUGUGGUUUAAUUCGAAGCAACGCGAAGAACCUUACCAGGUCUUGACAUCCUUUGACCACUCUAGAGAUAGAGCUUCCCCUUCGGGGGCAAAGUGACAGGUGGUGCAUGGUUGUCGUCAGCUCGUGUCGUGAGAUGUUGGGUUAAGUCCCGCAACGAGCGCAACCCUUAUUGUUAGUUGCCAUCAUUCAGUUGGGCACUCUAGCAAGACUGCCGGUGACAAACCGGAGGAAGGUGGGGAUGACGUCAAAUCAUCAUGCCCCUUAUGACCUGGGCUACACA
Molecule: ribosomal RNA, 1119 nt
Filed under: Enterococcus faecium
Lineage: Bacteria; Bacillati; Bacillota; Bacilli; Lactobacillales; Enterococcaceae
Description: bacterial SSU rRNA
Rfam family: Bacterial small subunit ribosomal RNA
Source: RNAcentral